AAGUCGUAACAAGGUUUCCGUAGGUGAACCUGCGGAAGGAUCAUUCACAAUACUCGACAGCUUAGGCUGUUGUUUUAGACCCUAUUAACCAAAACAAACCGAGCUAUGUACAACCCUUUUUUUUUCUAAACAACCAAUAGCCUUUCGGGGCGAGUAAAACCACUCUUGUUCUGAACCGGGUGAGAAUCCCGGGAAUUAACAUUACAAUGUGAUAAUAAGUCCUUAUAUGGUGGAUUCCAUAUAGGCAUGUGUAGAAAUACGUAAAUAUAUACAACUCUUUGCAAUGGAUAUCUUGGUUCUC
This 301-nucleotide unclassified non-coding RNA is filed under the name fungal sp. RNAcentral's name for it is "partial internal transcribed spacer region". The stretch from base 1 to 46 matches the Rfam family "Eukaryotic small subunit ribosomal RNA", at positions 1786 to 1831 of the family's 1831-position model. Lineage: Eukaryota; Fungi. The record is from RNAcentral.